AUGACCGCACCCCAACCAGUGAGGGAAGCAUCCGUCGCUAGUGUUACACGUCUCUUACAUCAACCACCAGGGAGGUCUGCGUUCGCGCCCCUUGUACAAGCUGGCGCACCAGAUCCUUGUGUGGUCCCAGGGCAAACUCCUCUCACUCAGAGCAGUAUAUAUUCCUUGGAAACUGAAUGUGGGAGCAGACAUACUGUCGAGGCAGGGGCCGAGGCCCGGGGAAUGGAAGCUUCACCCAGAGGUGGUGGAGCAGAUAUGGAGAAUUUUUGGCAGAGCUCAAGUAGACCUCUUUGCAACUCAGGAGACAGCACAAUGUCCCCUUUGGUUCUCUCUAGUUCAUCCAGCUCCCCUGGGACUGGACGCUAUGGUACAGACCUGGCCGAGGCUUCGUCUGUACGCAUUUCCCCCUAUUGCUCUGCUCCCGGGAGUUCUGGCGAGAGUACGCCGGGACGGGGUCCGUCUAUUGUUAGUAGCCCCGUUCUGGCCGGGCCGAGUAUGGUUCGCAGAUCUGGUCUCGCUCCUCGACGGCUCUCCUUGGGAGAUACCGAUCAGGACAGACCUACUCUCACAGGCGCAGGGCACGAUAAUUCACCCUCGCCCGGAGCUGUGGAAGCUGUGGGUGUGGCCCCUGAGGGGCGCAGUUCAUAGCAUCCGGUCUCUCAACCGAGGUUGUUGAGACCCUCCUCCAAUCCAGAGCUCCCUCAACGAGGAAACUGUACGCCCUGAGGUGGAAACUCUUCACCUCAUGGUGCAGAAACCGCCAGCUAGACCCAGUAAACUGCCCAGUCGGUACAGUUCUGGAGUUCCUACAGGCCAGGUUCUCUGCAGGGUUGACCCACUCCACGUUGAAGGUCUACGUGGCGGCCAUUGCGGCCUACCACGCCCUUCUCGAUGGUCAGUCUUUGGGAAGACACCCAUUAGUUACACGUUUCCUCCGCGGUGCGCUGAGGCUGAGACCUCCAGUACGGUCCCGUAUUCCCCCGUGGGACUUGGUUGUGGUGCUAGAGGCCUUGUGCAGACCUCCAUUUGAGCCUAUUCAAGAUAUUUCAGACAGACAUCUGACACUCAAAACCGCCUUUCUGUUGGCCAUUACCUCUCUGAGGAGAGUAGGAGAUUUGCAGGCCCUCUCAGUGGCCCCUACAUAUCUGGACUUUGCACCUGGCAUGACCAAAGCGUUCAUAUACCCUCGAGCGGGAUAUGUUCCUAAGGUCCCCUCUGUCACACCACAACCUGUAGUGCUGCAGGCUUUCUGUCCUCCUCCCUUUCGGGAGCCCGACCAAGAGAAGCUAAACUGUAUGUGUCCAGUUCGAGCACUGGACGCAUACGUCCACAGAGCUGCCCUGUGGAGAAAAACAGACCAAUUGCUUGUAUGCUAUGGUCCCCCCCAAGAGGGGUUCUCCUGCUUCUAAGCAGUCUAUUAGUCGUUGGAUAGUCGAGGCUAUCAACGCCACCUAUGAGUCCUCUGGUCGUCCCCCGCU
This is a long non-coding RNA of Cyprinus carpio carpio, 1478 nucleotides long. Lineage: Eukaryota; Metazoa; Chordata; Actinopteri; Cypriniformes; Cyprinidae. The record is from Ensembl.